RNAcentral lists this unclassified non-coding RNA (313 nucleotides) under uncultured Tomentella. Its description in RNAcentral is "sequence contains ITS2". The record is from RNAcentral. Lineage: Eukaryota; Fungi; Basidiomycota; Agaricomycetes; Thelephorales; Thelephoraceae.
AACGCACCUUGCGCCCUUUGGCUAUUCCGAAGGGCAUGCCUGUUUGAGUAUCAUGAACACCUCAACUCUCACGGUCCGCCGUGAUGAGCUUGGACUUUGGGGGUCUUGCCGGCCCAGCGUCGGCUCCUCUCAAACGGAUCAGCUUGCCAGUGUUUGGUGGCGUCACGGGUGUGAUAACUAUCUACGCUUGUGGUUUUCCGCCAUGCAACCUUCAGCGAUGGAGGUUCGCUGGAGCUCACAGAUGUCUCUCCUUCGUGAGGACGGCUUUUGAACGUUUGAUCUCAAAUCAGGUAGGACUACCCGCUGAACUUAA